This 455-nucleotide ribosomal RNA is filed under the name Felimida clenchi. Its description in RNAcentral is "partial 16S ribosomal RNA". It matches the Rfam family "Archaeal large subunit ribosomal RNA", at positions 1922 to 2666 of the family's 2987-position model. The record is from RNAcentral. Lineage: Eukaryota; Metazoa; Mollusca; Gastropoda; Nudibranchia; Chromodorididae.
GCCUUAGGGAAAGAUCUAAGGUUAUACCUGCCCAAUGUGUUUUUUAUCAAUGGCCGCGGUACUUUGACCGUGCUAAGGUAGCGCAAUCAAUUGGCUCUUAAUUGGGGUCAGGAAUGAAUGGAGUCUACGGGGUUCAGCUGUCUCCUAACUAAUUGUUUGAAGUUACUAUAUAGGUGAAAAAGCCUAUGUUUAGAAAAAGGACGAGAAGACCCUUAGAGUUUCACCUAAAUUAAGUGUUAGAAAAAGGUUACUUAUUAAUGGUUUAGUUGGGGCAACAUAGGAGUAAUAAUAAAGAUAAUCUCCUAAAUCUUAUUAACCGAUAGUUUUAAAUGUGAAUAAACUACCUUAGGGAUAACAGCAUAAUUUAAAAAAUAAGUUUGUGACCUCGAUGUUGGACUAGGAAACUUGAAGGCUAGCCGUCUUCACGGGAAGUUCUGUUCGAACUAGUUAUUCCU